This 497-nucleotide ribosomal RNA is filed under the name uncultured bacterium. RNAcentral's name for it is "partial 16S ribosomal RNA". It matches the Rfam family "Bacterial small subunit ribosomal RNA", at positions 28 to 507 of the family's 1533-position model. The record is from RNAcentral.
GAUGAACGCUGGCGGCGUGCCUAAUACAUGCAAGUCGAGCGAACGGACGAGAAGCUUGCUUCUCUGAUGUUAGCGGCGGACGGGUGAGUAGCACGUGGAUAACCUACCUAUAAGACUGGGAUAACUUCGGGAAACCGGAGCUAAUACCGGAUAAUAUUUUGAACCGCAUGGUUCAAAAGUGAAAGACGGUCUUGCUGUCACUUAUAGAUGGAUCCGCGCUGCAUUAGCUAGUUGGUAAGGUAACGGCUUACCAAGGCAACGAUGCAUAGCCGACCUGAGAGGGUGAUCGGCCACACUGGAACUGAGACACGGUCCAGACUCCUACGGGAGGCAGCAGUAGGGAAUCUUCCGCAAUGGGCGAAAGCCUGACGGAGCAACGCCGCGUGAGUGAUGAAGGUCUUCGGAUCGUAAAACUCUGUUAUUAGGGAAGAACAUAUGUGUAAGUAACUGUGCACAUCCUGACGGUACCUAAUCAGAAAGCCACGGCUAACUACGUG